CAGGUGCUUUAUAAAUGCCUAUGAUUAUCUGCUGAAACUUAAAAUGGAAAGGAAAACUGUUAUUUAAGUAAAAUUAGCAUGAAAUGGUGGCAUAUUAAUGGAAGUGCUCAUCAUAUUCUUAUUUUUGCAAGACAUGAUUUGAUAACAAUAUAUUUUCACACAGCUGUAUUUUGUUCAGAAGUCUAUUUGUACAAGUAGUACAGUGUGUAGAUGACAAAUGAUGAGAUAUUUAAGUAAUAAGAACUACUACAUAUGACCUGACUCCUGUGUAUAUCUAGUCCAGUAUCCUAUCUUUGCCACUGAUGAAUAUCAGGUGCUUUGCGGAAUGUGUAAGAACGUUCAUAACUGAUAAUGUUGGAAGACCUUAUCCACAGGAGAUGUUUUGUUCGAACUCAUGCCAACCAUCAGCCAAAAGAUGUCCUAAAGCGGGUUUAUAGCUCUGAUUUUUUCUAAAGUAAAUCUAGUGUAACUGUUCUCUCUCAUUAGGCUCCUCUCUAGAGUGAAGUUCCCCAGUGUCUUAUAUGCAUGUAAAUUCCUCCUUUUUACACCAUCAUCUCAUCCAUACAGCGAGACCCUGAAGUUCCUGUCAAACUUUCUCUUCUUCGGGCACCAGAAGCACUUUAGAGAAAGCUAUCAUAGAGGCCUGACUCUGUACAGGCCUUUCUCCUAAUUAGUUGAAUGUAGGCUCCAAGACCCUGCCUCUCCCUAAUAUGUACCAUGACCACAGAUUCCUCUUGAGCUCUCACUAGCAAUUCACCUAGAUGUCUCAACACAUUUUCUUGGUCAGUAUCAUCACAAGCUAUCCAUCUUAAACAGCAUCCUUAUCUCUUGGCGGGCAUGACCAGUUUAUUAGAAGGGAUGUCCAUGAAAGAGAGGGAGAAGUUGCUGUUUGAGAUGGGAGGUGGAAUAACAGGCUGGCAUCCCCCAGACUGAGCCCCACUUACUUAAGAUUUUGGGGUUUUUUUUUGAUAAACUAGACGUGCUGGGGGCAAUGGACCCCAUCUUGGCUUUCAUUCCAGUAAUGUCAGUGAAUAUGGGGUAUAGUGUACAUUUUGGCUUUUUGUGAAUACUCACAGCAAUUCAGUGCUGGCUUCUUUGCUAGCCUUGUCAACAUGAGUAUGUGCGAACUGUAGAGCUGUCUAACCUCUGCAAUCGUGAUGAAGCAACUGCAAAUUGGAAAAAAACCCUCUUUAGAAUAACGAAGAAAAUUAAUUAAUAUAUUUUCCCUCCCUGAAAAUGUGACUGUUAAAUUACUAUGUAGCUCAUUCUGUCCAACCUUCUGGGUUUGGUCAGGUCUGUACAACUCAUUUAGUGUUGCUACAUGUCUGAGGUACUGUUGAAAAUCUGACUGCUUCAGGAAAAAUAAGAGGUUUUCCAACUUACUGAUGCCAUUAUUAUUGUUAAUACAGCAUCACAGGUGUGCACUACAGUUUAUAACAAAAUAAUGUUCAUAUCACAGUAAGGUGGGAAGUAUGGUCCUGGAGCCUGGCUUAAUGGACACAGAACUGGGAGGCAGGUAGCCCUGAGCUCAACUGUCAUGUCAGCAACAGACUCCCUACCCUAGGUGACCUUGGCAAGUCACUUAAUCUACUCCAUGCUUUAGUUCCCUAGCUGUAAAAUGGGAAUAAUACUUUCCAACCUCACAGUGGUACUAGGAGGAUAAAAUCCAUUAAAGAAUGUGCGGUGUUCAGAUCCAGUGGUGAUUAGGGUUAUGUAAGUACCUACUUAGAUAGUACCUUUAUUCAUAGCUGGAAACCACCUUUGAAAUUGAUCCCUUCUACCCUAGGACUUUGCACUAGUACUAAAAAGUACAGAAUAGAGAAAAGCAUGAACAUGAGCAGUGCAGUCAAUGGAAUUAGUGAUGCGGCUUAGUGCUAAUUGCCCAAGUUCAUGUUAAGUACCAAAGCACUUCAUACCAUCAGUUGUCAUUUUUCGUGACUGCCCCGAUGUUGUAGUUAAUCUGAAUCCCGCUGGAAGUGUUUCUGAGGAGCCAGGCAUCAUGCUGAUUCCAUGGACCUCACGUGGAGGAAACUGUCUUCGCCAGGAAGGGCCACGUCUGAAGUUCUUGUCAUCGCUCUGCCAAUACAAAUGUUUGUGUUUGAUAAAACUAAAUUAAAUUCGUGAUUAGUUUUCUGGAUGGUU
Mauremys reevesii (Reeves's turtle) is the source of this 2142-nucleotide long non-coding RNA. RefSeq lists it as uncharacterized. NCBI's taxonomy places the organism in Eukaryota, Metazoa, Chordata, Testudines, Geoemydidae. The record is from RefSeq and is a predicted model, not a curated record. The transcript is spliced from 2 exons.